Molecule: long non-coding RNA, 5889 nt
Filed under: Sus scrofa (pig)
Lineage: Eukaryota; Metazoa; Chordata; Mammalia; Artiodactyla; Suidae
Description: lncRNA (ENSSSCG00015014305.1)
Source: RNAcentral
UUUUUUUUUUUUUUUUUUUUUAAAGAAAGUAGUAGGGAAAUAUAUGAUACUUGUAGGAUGAUUCCAUUCAAAAUGGCCACAUUUAUCUUUUAAUUAUAAUGUCUGAUGAAUAUUGGGUGGCUGAGAAAUUCCAGCAAGUGAAACUGUGCUUCCUAGUUUGCCAAAGGACUAUGAAGUUCCUGGGUAUUCGCUUUGCUGGAUAUCUGGUUCAGCUGGUCUAUAAACACGUGCUUAUGAAAUAUUUUUUUGCGCACUCCAGGUGAAACCUCAAUUUGGGCUAUGUCAUGAUGAUCACAGCCUGGCUCUGGUGUGCUUGGAUGCGAGCAGAUGGAUGGCUUUGGGAAUGUCUGGGAGCAGGGGCAGACCCUGCUUCUGCAGGAAGAGGGUGGCUGCUUCCAGCAGGAAAGUUCCUGCACCAGAGAUGGUGGUGACCAGCUAUUUGACUUUCACCAAGAUUCCCCACUUGGGUUGAGCUUUGCAGUUAUUUUUAUUUUAUUUUAUUUUUUGUCUUUUUACCUUUUCUAGAGCCGCUCCCGUGGCAUUUGGAGUUUCCCAGGCUAGGGAUCUAAUCGGAGCUGUAACUGCCGGCCUACGCUAGAGCCAUAGCAACGCAGGAUCUGAGCUGCAUCUGCGACCUGCACCAUAGCUCAUGGCAAUGCCGGAUCCUUAACCCACUGAGCAAGGGCAGGGACCGAACCCGCAACCUGAUGGUUCCUAGUUGGAUUUGUUAACCACUGAGCCACGACGGGAACUCUGAGCUUGGAGGUUUUUGAAGCAGUGUUGCACCUGCCAUCUACUUAGCCCGAAACAGUCCUGCAGGUUAGGCAAAGCAGACAUUGGUGUUGCUUCCAUUGUUCAGAUGGUUCCCAUCUGAUGUUUAGAGGGAAGGACCCAAGGCCAUGGCCCCAGUGAGUCUCAGAAUCUGAGCCCCUCGCCUUGUCCAGAUGUUCACAGCCUGCGUUGUCUGUGAACACCUGGUUGUCCAUGCCUGGGGGACAUGACCAGAGAUCCUUUCCCUACUCCAUGGAGCUUUCUUUCCCAGUUAACUAGGUCCAAUCCACAGAGAAGGAGAAAAAGGACUGUUUAGGUCCAGUCGAAACACAAACAACUUUGCCCUCAGAUGGAACAGGAACAGGAGAAAAAGCACAUUGUGAACCUCAGGCGGUUUGGAGGCAAGGCUUUUGGUAUUGAAGCUGUAGUUGGAGAAGCCCCAAAGCCCUGCUUCCUGGGCUGGGGACAGGGCUGAGCCUUCCCUGUCAGUCAGGAAAACACAUGCCUUGGGGCUGCUGGGCCUGAAUAAGGCUUUCAUCCUAGCCUAAGUGUCAGAGAGCUACCUGCCUACCCAGCCAGUGUGCCCUGGAGGGGGAAGGAAGACGUUUGUCCACUGGUUGUCAGAUUCACUUCCCAAUGCUGGGACGGGGCAUCCUUGGGGUGGUCCCAGAGCCAAGAUCUGGUCCAGGCUUAUUCCUAUAACUAGCUCAGCAUUAGACUUGAAGCCAGUUGAGGGACAAGAGGCGUCUCUUUCUUAGCUGUAAAUGAAAGAGUUCUCAGUCUCAUUCAGAAUGUAAGAGACUUAAAUCAAAACAACAAGGAGAUACCAUGUGUCACUUGUCUGACUGGGAAAUAUUUAAAGAAUUUUAGAAUAUCCAGUUCUGGGCUGGAGUCAGAAAAUAGACAUCCUCUUCUUGUUUUUCUGGUGGGACACAUUGGUGGCGUGUCUUGGGAGGGUUUUGGCCAUACCUGUCAAGGGUGUUGACCCAGCCAAUGCGUGCUCAGGAAUGUAUCCUGUGAAUCUACUCACCAAAGUGUGAAUAAAAAACAAACCUGGUGACUGAGCAUAGUGAAGUUGUUCCUAAUAGCAAUAGCAAAAAAUUGGAUACAGCCUCAAUAACCAUCACCUGGGGACCCGGUAAGUGUUUCUCCUUGGCACAUGGGGCAGCAUUCAAAUAGGGUGACAUGGGGAGGAUGCAAAGACCCAAUGGUAAUAAGUAACAAGAGUAACACAUAUUUUUUGAGUGCCGUCUAUAUUCUAAGACGUUUACAUUGAUUCACCUAUUCCCAUUUUACAAAUGAAAAAGCCAAGGCACGGUGAGGCUAAAUAAUCUUCUCAAAGUCAUAAUAUAAUUAGAAAGUAGCGUGGUGGAGGGGGUACAAAACAGGGAUUCUGGUUUGAGAAGUUGGUUCAAUGCCUUCUGUCUGAGUCUGUUCAGGCUGCUAUAGCCUAAAAUACCCCCGACUGCAGGUGGCUUGUAAAACAACAGAAAUGUAUCUCUCACAGUUCUGGAGACUGGAAGUCCAAGAUCAAGGUAUCAGCAUGGUCCAGUGAGGACCCUCUUCUUAUAUGCUCACCUGCUGGAAGGGGCAAGGGAGCUCCAUGGGGGUGCCUUUCAUAAGGGCACUAAUCCCAUUCAUGAGGGCCCCAUCCUCCUUACCUCCCAAAGCUGCUCCCCCAAGAACAUCACAUUGGAUGUUAGGAUUUGGGGCAGGAGAUACAAUCAUUCAGACCAUAGCACCUUUUUAAGUGGAAGAAAAAAAGGAAAAAAAGCAAAAGCAAGUUGCAGGAAUGUGGGCAUCUGGGGUUCUAUUUAUGUUUAAAAAAUCAAAAAAAUCAAGUUAGGACUUCCCAUUAUGGCUCAGUGGUAACAAACCCGACUAGUAUCCAUGAGGAUGUGGGUUCAGUCCCUGGCCUUGCUUAGUGGGUUAAGGAUCCAGCCUUGUGGUGAGCUGCAGGGUAGUUUGCAGACGUGGCUCAGAUCUGGCAUUGCUGUGGCUGUGGUGUAGGCCGGCAGCUACAGCUCCGAAUUGACCCCUAGCCUGGGAACUUCCAUAUGCCGCAGGUGUGGCCCUAAAAAGACCAAAAAGAAAAAAAUCUAGUCAUAUAUGUGUGUAUGUAUGUGCAUGCAUAUAUGUACAUAUUUUCUCAUGAUUAUUUUUGGCGGGAUACACAGGGUCGAGGUAGGGAAGACUGAGCGUUCAAGGUGGAGGGAGGGCAACUUUUUAUAUAUUCCUGUGCUGUUUCAUCUUAAAAAAAAAAAAGGGUAUGUCUAUCACUUUUAUUUUUUAAGACUUACCUGGGGUUAAUUUGUUCAGGUGGUGGAGCUAGGGGCCAUUUACAUUUUCCUUAAAUUUUCUAUAUUUAGAAAUUAUCUAGUAAAUAAUUGUAUUUUUUUAAUGGAAAGGUUGGACAUAACCUUCUCCAGAUAAGAACUCCUCCCAGAUAAGAAAUUUUCAUUUCUUUUUUUCUUUUCUUUUUUGCCUUCUAGGCCGGCUCCCACGGCAUAUGGAAGUUCCCAGGCUAGGGGCCAGCCUACGCCACAGCCACAGCAACGUUGGAUCCGAGCUGUGUCUGUGACCUACACCACAGCUCACAGCAAUGCCGGAGCCUUAACCCACUGAGCAAGGCCAGGUAUCGAACCCGCAACCUCAUGGUUCCUAGUCGGAUUCAUUUCUGCUGUGCCACAACAGGAACUCCCAAGAAAUUUUCUGAUUAUGUUUGUUGAGCAUGAGCUGUUACUUGAGUAACAUGUAAUGAAACCAUGUCUUCUGCCCACAAGGCACUGAGAGUUGGCACAGGUGCUGGUGAACAGUGAUAAACAUACUUGGGGAACAGGUACAGCGAGGGCAUCAUGCCGUUCUCUGCUAGAGGCUGGCUCAUCUAGCUGGGUCAGCACUCUUUUUCUUCCCCAGCAGAGAGUUGAGUCUGAGGUUGGGAGUGGUGGGUGACUGCAGGUGCCUGGGUUUGGGAGCCCCCGGCAGGUUCAGCCCAGAUGGAUCCUUCUGAGUUCGGGGUUGUGAGCACAGUGCACUGCAGUGAGUGCUAACUCUCAUUUGGUGCCAAGCCUGUGAUCAUCUCUUCAUGGGUAAGCAUUGCUUUUCUCCUCAUUCUUUAGCUGAAGAUCCAGAUGUGCCCCCUUUUGCUCCUGCCUUAGUUUUUCAGUGAUGAGAAGAGUGUACCCUCCACCAUGUAGCAGCCCCAGGGGCCUCAAUGUGGUGAUGGAACAGUCAUUGAACCGAGGAAACUCAAAGAGAUAGUCAAGAUUUUUGGUCAGCUGCCCAAGUCCCCUGUGAUUCUCUCUUUCUUUAUGGCCACACAUGCAGCCGUAUGAAUAUUCCCAGGCUAGGGUUUGAAUUGGAGCUGCAGCUGCUGGCUUAUACCAAACAGCCACAGCAACGCAGAAUCUGAGCCACAUUUGCACCCUACACCACAACUCACAGCAAUGCCAGAUUCUUAACCCACUGAGCGAGGCCGGGGAUUGAACCUGCAACCUCAUGGAUACUAGCUGGGGUUCUUACCACUGAGCCACAAUAGGAACUGCCCCUUGUGACUUUCUAUCUCACGUUGAAGGAUUUGCUUUCACUGGGGGGACCUUGCUCCUUGCAGUCCCUCGUGGCCUUCUGCUUGUACCUGCAUCCCGGCAUUGACCACACUGGAAAGUGACUCCUGUCACAGGCCACAUCCUCCAACCAGGUGUAGGUUCCUGAUAGGCUGGGCCUUGAUCCAAGUGCCUGCAAUUGGCCUUUCGUUACGACUCCAGCAGUGUUUCCAGUGUGGCUGGUGCUCGUGGGCAAAGCAGUGGUCUGGGCAGUCAGGUGGCACCAGAAAGCAGGUUGUGCAAAGAACCUACCCCCUACGCUCACUGUCAAUUGGAAGAGGGAUGAGAAAGAGGCGAGGACGUGGUGUUCCUUUGAGUGUGGCAAAGUCAUCUUUGGUAGCAGAAGGGCUGCCCCUGGGGGCUCUGAAUGUGUUGGUUAUUCCCAUGUCAGUUGGCUUUAGGCAGAGUGACUGGUAUGCCUCAGUGACCUGAGCUGUCAUUGGUGGGGCGGGGGGGUAGACUCAGAAGGAAGAGAUGAAAAGGAGGAAAAAUAAAUGGAGGUGAUGGACCCGAGGCACUGGGAAGCCACCGGAGGCUGGAGCACCGGGGAGGCUCCGGGGUGGAGGUUGGGGAGCAGUAAGCUCUGUGUGCACUUACACACUUCUCCCUGCCCGGGUGCCCAGGGGUGUUCACACUGUGACUUAUUUCAGGGCAGCCAGUAGAAAUAAUUGUGUGUGUAUGUGUCUGAGUGUGUGUGCACAUAAUUUAUGAAAAUGAAGAAAGCUGAAGCCAUGGGGACCCCCCCAAUAGUCAGAAUUAUAAGCCUGUGGAAAGAGCACUGCAUGAAACCCUAGAACCCGGAAUGGCACUUUUUAAUUCUUAUUUAUUUAUUUAUUUGGCCAUACCCAAGGCCUGCAGAAGUUUUUGGGCCAGGGAUCAAACCCAUGCCAUGGCUGUAACCAGAGACACAGCAGUGACAAUGCUAGAUCCUUAACCCACUGAGCCACCAGGGAGCUCCUGGAAUAGCAUUUGAAAUUCAUCUUGUCCCCUGGUGGCACAGUGAGUUAAGGAUCCGGUGUCACUGCUGUGGUGUGGGUUCGAUUUCUGGCCCGGGAACUUGUGCAUGCCACAGGCGCAGCCCAAAAGAGAAAAUAUUAAUCUCAAUCCAGAAUGAUGUUCUUAGCUUCAGCGGUGUGAUUUAUGUGGGAAAUUGCCACAGUGUCCUCCAGUUAGUAGCACCAACAAAUCUUCAUCUACAGGAGAGAAUGCAGUGUGACCUCUUAGUGCCCCACAUAAUACACAGCUCAGGUUGGAGGUGCUAGAUCACUCUCGGCCGUCUGUGCAAUGCUUAAAUCUGCGCGUUUCUGGGAACGCCUUUGGCAUGUGGUCAGUGGUAUAAAACAUCCCUCGUGUGGCCAUCUUGCUUAACUUGCUGAAGCGUUAAGCAGGAGGAUGGAGCCCACUUCCCAAACUCAGUUAAGGAAGUUUUCGCAGCAAGGGUUUCUGGGAAGGGGGAAUCCCUCAGAAGUUUUCCAGAUGUUGCUGGAAAGGUAUCUAAAUGCUAUAGCCAAAAAAA